This 514-nucleotide ribosomal RNA is filed under the name uncultured bacterium. RNAcentral describes it as "bacterial SSU rRNA". It matches the Rfam family "Bacterial small subunit ribosomal RNA", at positions 996 to 1509 of the family's 1533-position model. The record is from RNAcentral.
CUUAGCAGAGAUGCUUGGUGCCUUCGGGAACGUCUGAGACAGGUGCUGCAUGGCUGUCGUCAGCUCGUGUUGUGAAAUGUUGGGUUAAGUCCCGCAACGAGCGCAACCCUUAUCCUUUGUUGCCAGCGGUCCGGCCGGGAAACUCAAAGGAGACUGCCAGUGAUAAACUGGAGGAAGGUGGGGAUGACGUCAAGUCAUCAUGGCCCUUACGAGUAGGGCUACACACGUGCUACAAUGGCGCAUACAAAGAGAAGCGACCUCGCGAGAGCAAGCGGACCUCAUAAAGUGCGUCGUAGUCCGGAUUGGAGUCUGCAACUCGACUCCAUGAAGUCGGAAUCGCUAGUAAUCGUAGAUCAGAAUGCUACGGUGAAUACGUUCCCGGGCCUUGUACACACCGCCCGUCACACCAUGGGAGUGGGUUGCAAAAGAAGUAGGUAGCUUAACCUUCGGGAGGGCGCUUACCACUUUGUGAUUCAUGACUGGGGUGAAGUCGUAACAAGGUAGGCGUAGCGAG